AUUCUAAUCUCUUAAGAAAAGGGACAUAGUAACGUUAAAGAGUUCAGCCAAGAUUCCUAAUUCUUUCAAAAUGUUAUUUCUAUUCUCCUAGGGAAAGAGUUCAACAAAGAUCAUUCUCCAAAAUCUCCUUACAUAGCAACGUAUUGAUAAGUGCUUUAAGGAAAAGUUUCGGCCAAGAUUUUCUUUGCAUAGCAACGUGAUUACUUCGAGCUUUUCAUAUAGCUUGUUUUGUGUUUUAUCGCAAUUAACGUGUGUUAGAGGAUUGUCAAGAAAAUCGAUUCAGGUAUGUUAAGACUAUCCCUUCUUUCUUUUGACAUGAUCUAUACGACACGUACAAAAUGAGCAAAUGCACAACUUUCAUAAAUGACUCUAUUCAUAGAAAUAUUAGGGGUGUCUAUAUUCUUGAUUCCCCACGUGAAUUAUUAUUAUAUCUUCUGUUUAUGGGUCUUAGAAAAAUACGUAUUUGAUAAAAUUUAUCCGACAUGCAUAUUCUUUUUAUGACAUUAUGAGAAAAUCGUAUUAACGUAUUUCUUAUGCAUUUCAUACAUUUAUACAUGUACAUUGACCCAUGACCAGAUGGCGUUAUAUACUCGUAUAUAUAUGUAUAUGGGAUAUGGGAAAAGGUUACGGCGUUAUAUACGCACCACCACCUGAUCAACUGGUAUACGUUGAUGAUUUGCCCACAGUGGCCGAAAUGAUACGAUGGGAUGCCCUCAGANNNNNNNNNNNNNNNNNNNNNNNNNAUGGCAUUAUAUACGCACCACCACCUGAUCAGUUGGUACACGUUGAUGAUUUGCUCACAGUGGCCGAAAUGAUAAGAUGGGAUGCCCUCGGAGGCUUGAAGAUGUUAUGAACGCAUAUACCUAUGCAUGGUAUGACAUUUAUACGCAUAUGCAUGGCAUUAUAAAAAUGAAAUGAUUCACAGAGCUUUGCAGACGUACAUGUCGAGUCUUUUACUCUAUAUUUCUCUCAUGUCUAUUAUUUACUGAUUUUUAUUCCUUACAUACUCGGUACAUUAUUUGUACCGACGUCCCUUUUGCCUGGGGACACUGUGUUUCAUGCCCGUAGGUCUUGAUAGACGGGUCGAGAAUCCUCCAAGUAGGCGAUCAGCUCAGCGGAAGAUGCUGGUGCACUCCAUUUGCUCCGGAGUUGCUUGUUUGGUCAGUAUACCUUAGAUGUGUAUUGUUUGGUAUGGCGGGGCUCUGUCUCGACCUUUAUGAAAAUUAUGUAUUCUUAGAGGCUUAUAAACAGAUGUCAUAUAUAUGAAAGGUUGUAUGGCCUUGUCGGCCUAUGUUCAGUGUACGAGCGAUCGUUUUGGGUCUUAUAGGAC
RNAcentral lists this long non-coding RNA (1330 nucleotides) under Nicotiana tabacum (common tobacco). RNAcentral describes it as "long non-coding RNA (NTAB_LNC016879)". The record is from RNAcentral. Lineage: Eukaryota; Viridiplantae; Streptophyta; Magnoliopsida; Solanales; Solanaceae.